This 326-nucleotide ribosomal RNA is filed under the name uncultured eukaryote. Its description in RNAcentral is "partial 18S ribosomal RNA". It matches the Rfam family "Eukaryotic small subunit ribosomal RNA", at positions 1470 to 1796 of the family's 1831-position model. The record is from RNAcentral.
CCCUUAGAUGUUCUGGGCCGCACGCGCGCUACACUGAAGGGAUCAGCGUGUUUUCCCUUCCCGAGAGGGACGGGUAACCCGCUGAACCCCCUUCGUGGUAGGGAUCGGAGCUUGCAAUUGUUCUCCGUGAACCAGGAAUUCCCAGUAAGCGCAAGUCAUAAGCUUGCGUUGAUUACGCCCCUGCCCUUUGUACACACCGCCCGUCGCUACUACCGAUUGAACGUUUUAGUGAGGUAUUUGGACUGGGCCUUGGGAGGUUUCGGCCUCCCUUGUUGCUCGGAAAGACUCCCAAACUUGAGCGUUUAGAGGAAGUAAAAGUCAUAACA